Hippocampus zosterae (dwarf seahorse) is the source of this 288-nucleotide long non-coding RNA. RefSeq lists it as uncharacterized. The record is from RefSeq and is a predicted model, not a curated record. The transcript has 2 exons. NCBI's taxonomy places the organism in Eukaryota, Metazoa, Chordata, Actinopteri, Syngnathiformes, Syngnathidae.
GGCAAGAAGGGGAACCGCGUUAUCAUGACAAAGUCAUUCUCAUAUAUUUUAGACUAUAAGUCACUUUUUUUUUCAUGGUUUGGCUGCUGGUCCUGCCUACGACUCCUACUCAGGUGCCACUUGUAUCGUGUAUAUUCAAAUUAGAGCUUGGACCGGCUGUCCGAGCUUGUCCAAAAUCAUCGUGGAUGCGUUCGGAAAUAUACUCUGAGCCAGCACCACUUCACUCUGACUGUUCGGUAACUCGUGCGUUAUUCAAAUGUGAUAUUUGGUUAUUCCGAUCCAGCCCCC